GUGCUUGGGCGAGAGUAGUA
Molecule: ribosomal RNA, 20 nt
Filed under: Mentha spicata (spearmint)
Lineage: Eukaryota; Viridiplantae; Streptophyta; Magnoliopsida; Lamiales; Lamiaceae
Source: RNAcentral